Long non-coding RNA from Hypanus sabinus (Atlantic stingray), 3493 nucleotides. RefSeq lists it as uncharacterized. The transcript has 8 exons. Lineage: Eukaryota; Metazoa; Chordata; Chondrichthyes; Myliobatiformes; Dasyatidae. The record is from RefSeq and is a predicted model, not a curated record.
CCCAAGAUGCAUCAGCCAUGGGAGGCACCACCAAUGCUACUGGCCGCCUGGAACCUUACCUGGAGCAGGUCAAACUUGCCGCAUGGCAAAACGGGUGGAGCCCCAGCAAGACGGCGGUGUAACUUGCCCAGGUACUGGAAAUGGAUGCCGUGCAGGCCCUCCUCAACCUCAUGUGAGCUGAGCAGUGUGGCUACAGGGCCCUCGUAGCGACUGGAGUGGCAUUUUGAGCAGAGGCCAUUGGAUGCAGCAAUGAGGGAAGAACGGGGCAGCAGACAGCGCCAUGUGGGAGACAGCCUGGGGGCAUUUACGGCAGAUCUCAGCUACUGUGCUCAGCGUGGCUACCCCCAGUUCCCUCCCCCGGCCCAGGAGGAGCUUGCCCUCCACGCCUUUGGUAGUGUGUUCGCCGGACGUCGCCAUCAUCACUGGCUGAGGCAGAGAGGGCAGAUGCAAUUUUAUCUUUCAAGGUGUCCUGGCGUCACCCAUGAGUCCGGGCAUGUGUUACUGAGGAAACUGAUGAGGAGGGGCCGACCAGCUCUCUUUGCUCCCAGGCCUGCCCGCACCUGCCGCACUCCAGUCCGGCACAGCCAUCAGGAAACGCCGAGGCCUCCGGCCGGACCAUUUGGAUGAAGAAAGCUUGUGGAUUUCACAGUGAACAGACCAUGGCUGCUGUCAGCUCCCCUGAAUAUACUAGAUCUCACACAAAGGCAUCAGUCACCUCGACCUGGUUCCUGCAUCUUGCUGCAACAUUGCACACAGCUGUAAGAUUCUGUUUCUGAUGCUCAUUCUGAAAGAUCAGUCCAUGCGAUAUUCAUUCUCCAGAUCAGUCCUUCAUUGGGAAAGUCAUCCCUACCAUUGAGCACAUCUAUUUGGAGUGCGGUUGCAGGAAAGCAUCAUCUAUCAUCAGGGAUCCCCACCACCCAGACCAUGUUCUCUCCUCGCUGCUGCCAUUAUAAACAAGUGUGGAACAGAGCCUUCUGACCCAAUGUGCCACCCCACCCAGCAACCCACCUAUUUAACCUGAGCCUAAUCACAGGACAACUUACAAUGAUCAAUUCACCUACUAACCGACAAUGGGAGGAAACCGGAACACCUGGAGGAAACCCACGCACUCACAGGAAGGAUGUACAAACUCCUUAAAGAUGGUGUUGGAAUUGAACUCUGAACUCUGACAUCCCGACCUGUAUUAGUGCCACGUUACACUGCUGUGGCCCCCAAAUAAGGUCCCGCGAUCUCUAUUGGCUCAUCCACGUGACCCUUUAACUCUUCGAAGCUGGGAAUCACAUCUAACAUUUUCCAGACAUGAAUUCUGGAUAAGCCUGCCCCACUUUUCAGUCCCCGAGGGGAAUUCUCCUGCAGAUCAACAUCCUGAGCUGACUUGCAAGUUCAUCCACCUGACAGCUCAGCAAUGAUUCUUUUCAUCACUCAGAUCUGAAAAAUGAGAUAAAAGUGGUAACUUGAUGAAUGGACAGGCUUGUCUUGUAAUGUACUUGAAGUUUUAUAAGCUGCAGGACAAAAUGAGAGGACUGGAUUUCAUAACGGAGAAGGAGUUUCAGCUGGAGCUUCAGAUGUGUGCUUCCUAAAUGAGGCAACCACAAAAUGAAGAAACCCAGCAGAAUCCAUUAGGAAGGACCAUCAAACACCUAAUCUACAGGGAAAAAAAACAAAUUGUGCGAACAGUAGAAGUAAACAAAAACCAUUCGUAACUGAAGUUCAUGAAAGUGAAUCCACAGCCACGAAGCCAGUCGUCAUGGUGACCAAUCUAGGAACUGGUUAGUUGUAGGCCCAGAGACAAGUAGACCUCACAGAGCACUGAGCUGAACUGGCCUGACAUCCUGACCUUUUCAGUCAGACUUGAUGCUUAAAUCGUCCAAAGCUUCACUUCCAGGCCUGGGCCCCACCAACUUCAUUCGGCCUGUAGCCAACCUUACCAAUUUGGCCUGGCACUUAAAUCAAUGAAGCCUUGAGUUUCCUUGCUCUCGGGCCUGGGCCCCGCCACCUUGAUUCUGCCUCACCUUGGCUCUGCAACAUGAAACACCCUUGCUGAAACAAACUAAUUGACAUGAUAAUAGCAAUAUGCAAGCUUUCUUUAGCUCAAAUCAUGAUGGUGCAAAUUCUGUAGGAUAAUUAACACAACCCACACCGUUUUAACGUUUGGCUGAUAGGUAUGAAAUCUCCUAGUCUUUGGCCUUUUAACUUCAAUUUACUGCUUACGGUUUACAAUUAAAAACUGAAGACCCGUUCUUGUUUGAACUAAUAUCUGCCGUAUUUACAAAACUCCAGAAUACUCCCUAACGCCGUCUACCAAUGACUUUGCAGUUUGAACCGACUUUCCAAAUUCCUCUCCUCACCUCUUAGGGACUCAAGUGUCUAAUGAGGAGUUCUGGACAUGUUAGUUAGUUGAGAAGAGAGUCAGAGUCAUAGACUACUACAGUACAGAAACAGGCCCUUUGGCCCAUUGACCUGCACCUGGACCGUAGCCCAUUCUGUCCGUGAACCUAUCCGAACUUCUCUUAAGCAUUGAAAUUGAACCUGCAUCCACCUCUUCCACUGGCACUCUGACCUCCCUCGUGUGGAGACUUGAUUGACACAUGUAAAGUGGAUGUGGAGAGAAGAGACACAGUACGGUAACAGGCUCUUCCAGCCCAUUGAGCCCGCAUAGCCCAAUUACAUCCACGUGACCAUCGUUAGAACAUGGAAGGAACACCGGAGCACCCGGAGGAAACACACCCGGUCACAGAGAGAACGUACAAGCUCCUUACAAACAGCGGCAGGUAUUGAACCUGAUCACUGAUUACUGAUGCUGCAAUUGGCUUGCAUAAGUGCUGUACUGCCAAUGUGCCCCUAUCUAAACUAACGCAGUGGGAAAUGGUAAGUUCAAAGUCAAUUUAUUAUCAAAGUAAAUAUAUGUCAGCAUAUACUACCCUGAGGUUAAUUUUCUGGAAGGCAUUCAUGGUGGGCACAAAGAAACACAAUGGAAUCAAUGAUAAACUACCUACAAACAAAGACAGACAAACAACCAACGUGCAAAAGAUGACAAACUACAAAUACAAAAAGAAAAAGAAAAUAACAGUCGUGGGACAACUGAGAGAGGUGGAUUUAAAUGUCCGAGAGUGAGGCAACUCCACUGGGAAGGGGUGUAAGAGAGAAGUUUGAGUCAAAAAUCUGAUUGAAUGAAGGACGAAAGUGUUUUUGUGUCUGGGUGUCCGAGAUUUCAAAUUCCUUUGUCUUCUCCCAAAAGGUGAGAGUGUGGAUUUGAGAAGUGGUGGAUGUGCGUUUGAUUUCUACACUUAAAGUGAAAUUUGGAUAGGUACAUGGAUGGGAGGGGUAUGGAGGGCUAUGGUCAGAAUCAGAAUCAGGUUUAAUAUCAUUGGCAUAUGCCGUGUAAUUUGUUGUAAUGUGGCUGCAGUAUAUUGUAAUACAUAAUGAUAAACUAUAAAUUACAAUAAAAAAGAUGUUUAAAAAUUAAAAUUAAGUAAGUAGUGCAUAAAGAUAG